RNAcentral lists this non-coding RNA (28 nucleotides) under Homo sapiens (human). Lineage: Eukaryota; Metazoa; Chordata; Mammalia; Primates; Hominidae. The record is from RNAcentral.
UUGACAGAGUCUGGCCUCUCGAUGGUAC